Molecule: long non-coding RNA, 327 nt
Filed under: Androctonus crassicauda
Lineage: Eukaryota; Metazoa; Arthropoda; Arachnida; Scorpiones; Buthidae
Source: RNAcentral
UCUGUUUAUUUCCACUACCGCUUACGCGCUAGAGCCAUCUAUUGGAAAAUGGCAGAAGCAAAGUUGUACACCCAAUAAUAAUGUUAAAACUAAUAACAAAUAAGCUAUUGACUAUACUUAUUCAUUACAGACUACACAUGCCUAUGCUUUUGGGGGAAAUUAUCAUGAUGACCAUCAUUAACCCAUUUUUUGCUACUUCGAACUAUAGUUCGAUAAGGUCAAGCUUGUUUACUCUUCCACUUCGAACUUUAGUUCUUUCAAGUUGGAAUGUUCUUUUUUCUUUGAUAUUUUUCAUUGUUUAUGGAUAAUUCCAAUCUUAUUACUGCA